Polypterus senegalus (gray bichir) is the source of this 262-nucleotide long non-coding RNA. RefSeq lists it as uncharacterized. NCBI's taxonomy places the organism in Eukaryota, Metazoa, Chordata, Cladistia, Polypteriformes, Polypteridae. The transcript has 3 exons. The record is from RefSeq and is a predicted model, not a curated record.
CGUGUUGGCGCAGAGGUUGGGUGCUCGCUGCUCAUCUACUGAUAGAUGGGUCCUGGUUUGGCUCUGCUACGAUGCCAUUGUGCAUUUUACGUUGGAAGGUCCAUUUGUCUACAUGUCUCUUGUAGGCACUGUGGCAACAUCUGACAACAUGUUGGCUGAAUUGUGUUGAUCUGAGUGUGUAGACACCUUCAAGCACUAAACAAUGUUUACCUGUAGUAUAAAUGUGAGGUGGCACAAAUUCCCUUAUUCAUCCAUCAUUAUG